This 253-nucleotide ribosomal RNA is filed under the name uncultured bacterium. RNAcentral's name for it is "partial 16S ribosomal RNA". It matches the Rfam family "Bacterial small subunit ribosomal RNA", at positions 524 to 776 of the family's 1533-position model. The record is from RNAcentral.
UACGUAGGGUCCGAGCGUUGUUCGGAAUUACUGGGCGUAAAGCGCGCGCAGGCGGUCUUCCAAGUCAGUGGUGAAAGCCUGGAGCUCAACUCCAGAACUGCCAUUGAAACUGUUAGACUUGAGUACGAGAGAGGUGAGUGGAAUUCCCAGUGUAGAGGUGAAAUUCGUAGAUAUUGGGAAGAACACCAGUGGCGAAGGCGGCUCACUGGCUCGUAACUGACGCUCAGGCGCGACAGCGUGGGGAUCAAACAGG